GGGAGCAAACAGGAUUAGAUACCUGGUAGUCCACGCCGUAAACGAUGAGUGCUAAGUGUUAGGGGGUUCCGCCCUUUAGUGCUGCAGCUAACGCAUUAAGCACUCCGCGUGGGGAGUACGACCGCAAGGUUGAAACUCAAAGGAAUUGACGGGGGCCCGCACAGCGGUGGAGCAUGUGGUUUAAUUCGAAGCAACGCGAAGAACCUUACCAGGUCUUGACAUCCUUUGACCACUCUAGAGAUAGAGUUUUCCCUUCGGGGACAAAGUGACAGGUGGUGCAUGGUUGUCGUCAGCUCGUGUCGUGAGAUGUUGGGUUAAGUCCCGCAACGAGCGCAACCCUUAUUGUUAGUUGCCAUCAUUAAGUUGGGCACUCUAGCGAGACUGCCGGUGACAAACCGGAGGAAGGUGGGGAUGACGUCAAAUCAUCAUGCCCCUUAUGACCUGGGCUACACACGUGCUACAAUGGACAGUACAAUGAGCAGCGACACGGCGACGUGAAGCGAAUCUCAUAAAGCUGUUCUCAGUUCGGAUUGUAGGCUGCAACUCGCCUACAUGAAGCCGGAAUCGCUAGUAAUCGCGGAUCAGCACGCCGCGGUGAAUACGUUCCCGGGCCUUGUACACACCGCCCGUCACACCACGAAAGUUUGUAACACCCGAAGUCGGUGAGGUAACCGCAAGGAGCCAACCGCCUAAGGUGGGAUAGAUGAUUGGGGUGAAGUCGUAACAAGGUAACCAAGGGCGAAUUCCAG
Molecule: ribosomal RNA, 749 nt
Filed under: uncultured Vagococcus sp.
Lineage: Bacteria; Bacillati; Bacillota; Bacilli; Lactobacillales; Enterococcaceae
Description: bacterial SSU rRNA
Rfam family: Bacterial small subunit ribosomal RNA
Source: RNAcentral